This 429-nucleotide ribosomal RNA is filed under the name Cupriavidus sp. Its description in RNAcentral is "bacterial SSU rRNA". It matches the Rfam family "Bacterial small subunit ribosomal RNA", at positions 343 to 763 of the family's 1533-position model. The record is from RNAcentral. Lineage: Bacteria; Pseudomonadati; Pseudomonadota; Betaproteobacteria; Burkholderiales; Burkholderiaceae.
UGGAGGCAGGCCAUGGGGAAUUUUGGACAAUGGGGGCAACCCUGAUCCAGCAAUGCCGCGUGUGUGAAGAAGGCCUUCGGGUUGUAAAGCACUUUUGUCCGGAAAGAAAUGGCCCUGGCUAAUACCCGGGGUCGAUGACGGUACCGGAAGAAUAAGCACCGGCUAACUACGUGCCAGCAGCCGCGGUAAUACGUAGGGUGCGAGCGUUAAUCGGAAUUACUGGGCGUAAAGCGUGCGCAGGCGGUUUGAUAAGACAGGCGUGAAAUCCCCGGGCUCAACCUGGGAAUGGCGCUUGUGACUGUCAGGCUAGAGUGCGUCAGAGGGGGGUAGAAUUCCACGUGUAGCAGUGAAAUGCGUAGAGAUGUGGAGGAAUACCGAUGGCGAAGGCAGCCCCCUGGGACGUGACUGACGCUCAUGCACGAAGUCGGC